UCCUCCGCCACCUCUUCCAAGCGCAGCACCGCUUGCAUCCCCGAAUACCCAAACGGCCACCGUGGCCCUGGCCAAACCAAGGAGGAAGAAUGGUUCGUCCUCCAGGGCACGGUCAUCAAGGAGGAUCCAGCGCGGAUGGCUGCCAAAGGAGGAUGAUAAGCAGAGGACCGAUUGCUGCACCGACAACAGUGGCGCUCUAUCCGGAUAGCGCUUCCGCAAAUGGUUCUGCCGUGGUGCGAAUUCGUAAAAACAGUCAAGCGAGUGAACUUUCUCCCUGUAGUGAAUGAGUGUGGCAGAGAAGAGAGAGAGAGAGAGAGUUCGUGAAUCGAAAUUAGAGAGCAAGAGAUAUCAGGUCAAGCGAGAGAGGCGUUGAAGAUGUGUGCGUGAAGAAACGAGAAAUAAAGCAGUCGUGUGUUUUGCUUGGACUUGAAA
Molecule: long non-coding RNA, 432 nt
Organism: Culex quinquefasciatus (southern house mosquito)
Lineage: Eukaryota; Metazoa; Arthropoda; Insecta; Diptera; Culicidae
Exons: 2
Source: RefSeq, a predicted model, not a curated record